RNAcentral lists this ribosomal RNA (1529 nucleotides) under Shigella flexneri CCH060. RNAcentral's name for it is "bacterial SSU rRNA". It matches the Rfam family "Bacterial small subunit ribosomal RNA". The record is from RNAcentral. Lineage: Bacteria; Pseudomonadati; Pseudomonadota; Gammaproteobacteria; Enterobacterales; Enterobacteriaceae.
AGAGUUUGAUCAUGGCUCAGAUUGAACGCUGGCGGCAGGCCUAACACAUGCAAGUCGAACGGUAACAGGAAUCAGCUUGCUGAUUCGCUGACGAGUGGCGGACGGGUGAGUAAUGUCUGGGAAACUGCCUGAUGGAGGGGGAUAACUACUGGAAACGGUAGCUAAUACCGCAUAAUGUCGCAAGACCAAAGAGGGGGACCUUCGGGCCUCUUGCCAUCGGAUGUGCCCAGAUGGGAUUAGCUUGUUGGUGGGGUAACGGCUCACCAAGGCGACGAUCCCUAGCUGGUCUGAGAGGAUGACCAGCCACACUGGAACUGAGACACGGUCCAGACUCCUACGGGAGGCAGCAGUGGGGAAUAUUGCACAAUGGGCGCAAGCCUGAUGCAGCCAUGCCGCGUGUAUGAAGAAGGCCUUCGGGUUGUAAAGUACUUUCAGCGGGGAGGAAGGGAGUAAAGUUAAUACCUUUGCUCAUUGACGUUACCCGCAGAAGAAGCACCGGCUAACUCCGUGCCAGCAGCCGCGGUAAUACGGAGGGUGCAAGCGUUAAUCGGAAUUACUGGGCGUAAAGCGCACGCAGGCGGUUUGUUAAGUCAGAUGUGAAAUCCCCGGGCUCAACCUGGGAACUGCAUCUGAUACUGGCAAGCUUGAGUCUCGUAGAGGGGGUAGAAUUCCAGGUGUAGCGGUGAAAUGCGUAGAGAUCUGGAGGAAUACCGGUGGCGAAGGCGGCCCCCUGGACGAAGACUGACGCUCAGGUGCGAAAGCGUGGGGAGCAAACAGGAUUAGAUACCCUGGUAGUCCACGCCGUAAACGAUGUCGACUUGGAGGUUGUGCCCUUGAGGCGUGGCUUCCGGAGCUAACGCGUUAAGUCGACCGCCUGGGGAGUACGGCCGCAAGGUUAAAACUCAAAUGAAUUGACGGGGGCCCGCACAAGCGGUGGAGCAUGUGGUUUAAUUCGAUGCAACGCGAAGAACCUUACCUGGUCUUGACAUCCACGGAAGUUUUCAGAGAUGAGAAUGUGCCUUCGGGAACCGUGAGACAGGUGCUGCAUGGCUGUCGUCAGCUCGUGUUGUGAAAUGUUGGGUUAAGUCCCGCAACGAGCGCAACCCUUAUCCUUUGUUGCCAGCGGUCCGGCCGGGAACUCAAAGGAGACUGCCAGUGAUAAACUGGAGGAAGGUGGGGACGACGUCAAGUCAUCAUGGCCCUUACGACCAGGGCUACACACGUGCUACAAUGGCGCAUACAAAGAGAAGCGACCUCUCGAGAGCAAGCGGACCUCAUAAAGUGCGUCGUAGUCCGGAUGGGAGUCUGCAACUCGACUCCAUGAAGUCGGAAUCGCUAGUAAUCGUGGAUCAGAAUGCCACGGUGAAUACGUUCCCGGGCCUUGUACACACCGCCCGUCACACCAUGGGAGUGGGUUGCAAAAGAAGUAGGUAGCUUAACCUUCGGGAGGGCGCUUACCACUUUGUGAUUCAUGACUGGGGUGAAGUCGUAACAAGGUAACCGUAGGGGAACCUGCGGUUGGAUCACCU